UCACAGUACCUCAGCGCCUGGGGCGAGCCAUUGUGUGGCAACAGGCGGGAGGGGAAGGGCCUCUGGGCGUGGUGAGGUGGGUGCAUUAAAUGGCCGACCUGCUUAAUCCUGCCAGCCUCACACAGAUCUGCCACAGCUCCCUCCUUCACAGGACGGGCAGUCACAGAGCUGUUGAGACAACAUAAGUUGCAGGAGAAUUUCUGAAGUUACUCUGAGUGACACAUUUGAGCACUGGAAUGCCCUUGCAGUGUCACCAUUGUAUUUAUUCUUGAGGGAUUCUUGCCUAGAUCUGAUUUCUGAAAGCAAGUCUAUUCAUCUCCCUGUGCUUUUGAAACAAUGGCUUAGGGUGGUGAAGAACUGUUGGACUGGGAGCUGGUGCCACUGAAGCAUAAUGGCAAAGAGAUCUGUCUCACCAGUCUGAUCAAAGAAACCAAUAUUCAUGGCAGAACAGAUUUCAACAGUGGUAUUUCUGGCUAAAGACACACAAAGUGCUUGGGAAGUAAUUUAACAAUGGAGUGAUCUUAUGGUAAAGUGUUAGAACAGGACAUUAGUAAACAGUAAGAGUUUGACAUACAGUAGUGUAGAAGAAUCAUUGAUUUGUGGUGCUAUUACAUAUGGCUGGUCUAAGGCUAUGUCAAAAUAGUGUUUUCUGGCAGCAAGACCCACAGAGAUUGUCUGUAGUUCAUGGUAGCAGUAAAGACAUAAUGUUCAUAGCAGAAAAGUAUAUGGGGCAAUAAACAGUUUUUGUUGGGCAUUAAAUAAGGAAAUGAAGUUAAAAGCUUUACUUAUGAAUAUAAGUCUUGCUGGAGGAUGAAUGUGAUCUAAAUAAAUAAACUUCAAUGUAACCA
Molecule: long non-coding RNA, 848 nt
Organism: Oxyura jamaicensis (ruddy duck)
Lineage: Eukaryota; Metazoa; Chordata; Aves; Anseriformes; Anatidae
Exons: 4
Source: RefSeq, a predicted model, not a curated record